CGCAUUCACCAACAUGUGGCAAUUAUACGUUAAUGUAUUUAUUAUCUCCAAGAUGGACAAUCAGUGUACAUGUGAAAACUUUUUAUGUUCCAAUUACCGAUUAUUUGCAACGCAUUCACCAACAUGUGGCAAUUAUACUUUCAAGUAUUUAUUAUCACCAAGAUGGACAAUUAUUGUAUGUUUCAAAACUUUUUUUGAUUGAGUGAAACCGGAAAACUUUCACGUCGAACAUCUGGUUUGCUUAUUGCAGCCAACACUCUAAUCUUAGUCCGGACUUAAAAUAGCGAUUAGACAUGUUAUCGGAUUUGGUAUGUUUUUCAUUUUUAUUAUGGAGUUUAUCCUAAUGGCGAAAUUUUGGUUUCUUUUGCCUAAGAGCUGUAUCUCCGAUUUUAUCACUUUUGAUAAAUUUGUUCAGUAUAAUGUUCAGUUAGGUUGAGUCAUCAAUUUGAACAUAAUGGCGAAUAAUUUAUUUUUAUGCAGUUUAAAUUGCGUUUCAAAUAUACCUACAUACCGGCUUACUUCUAUACGCAUAUCUAUUAUAAUUAAUUAAUAAUAAACAUUGAACAAUAGGUGGUUUCCUGUGAAA
Molecule: long non-coding RNA, 586 nt
Organism: Dendroctonus ponderosae (mountain pine beetle)
Lineage: Eukaryota; Metazoa; Arthropoda; Insecta; Coleoptera; Curculionidae
Exons: 3
Source: RefSeq, a predicted model, not a curated record